GUAAGUUACUCAAAUGCGUAUGGUGGAUGCCUUGACAUUAAAAAGCGACGAAGGACGUAGCUGGCUGCGAUAAGCCCCGGGGAGUUGUUAAGCAAACUGUGAUCCGGGGAUUUCCGAAUGCGAUAACGCAACCAUUCUUCACUAACGUUCAGAAUGAAAUUUUAAAGACUAAAUUUAAAAUUUUAAAUCAAAUCUAAAUGACUAAAUUUUAAAAAUUUAAUCAUUUGAAAAUUUAAAAUUCAUUUAAAAUUUAUAAUUUAAAAUUGAAAAUUUACAGUUUUUGUAAAUAUAAAAGUUCUGAAUAUUAGCGAAGGAUGGUUAUUCUUAGCUGAAUUCAUAGGUUAAGAAAGCGCACCCUGGGAACUGAAACAUCUUAGUACCAGGAGGAAAAGAAAACAAUUGUGAUUCCGUCAGUAGUGGCGAGCGAAAGCGGAAUAGCCUAAACCAUUCCUCACUAAUGUUCAGAAUGAAAUUUUAAAGACUAAAUUUAAAAUUUUAAAUCAAAUCUAAAUGACUAAAUUUUAAAACUUUAAUCAUUUAAAAAUUUAAAAUUCAUUUAAAAUUUAUAAUUUAAAAUUAAAAAUUUCCGAGCAAUAGCGAGGGAUGGUGUUGCGAGACAAUCUUACUCGUUUAAUCGGGACCGGUGAAAAAUCAUAGUGGAAAGCUCCUGGAAAGGACUGCCAAAGAAGGUGAAAGCCCUGUACAUAAAAUGAUAUUUUAUCGGCGUGAUUGCUCUCAAGUAAGACGGGACCGGUGAAAUCCCGUCUGAAUCCGGGGCCACUAUAGCUCCAAGGCUAAAUAUUUUUAAUGAUCGAUAGCGAACUAGUACCGUGAGGGAAAGGUGAAAAGCAUCCCGAUGAGGGAGAUGAAAUAGUAUCUGAAACCAUAUGCUAACGAAGAGUCAGAGCCGUGCAUAGCACGGAAGCUCCAAAUCCAAAAUCCCAAAUCCAAAAUAAAUCCCAAAUCCAAAAUCCCAAAGUUUAAAACAUUGGGUCAUUGGAAAAUUGUCUGGCUUUGCCAGACUUGGCGUAGCCAAGGAAUUUGUUUGGAAAUUGGAAAUUGGAAAUUGGAAAUUCCGCGCUGUGCGCGGUGAUGGCGUGCUUUUUGUAGAACGAGCCAACGAGUUAGUUCUGUGCGGCUGGAUAAGCUACUUUCGUAGCGGAUCCACAGUGAAAGCGAGGCUUAACCGCCGUUCGUUCGUAUCAUACUGCGUGUGAUACUCACUUAAAAUCAAAAUUAAAAAAUCAAAAAUUAAAAUUUUGGUAUGCGCUUCGCGCAUGACAAUUAUAGAUAAGUAAUUGUCGCGAAGCGACUCCUUAAUUUUUCAUUUUGAUAUUUAAUUUUUAAAUUUUAGCGAGUAUCGAGCGUAGCGAGAUACGAGCGAUUGUCGUACGGACUAGACCCGAAGCCAGGCGAGCUAUUUAUGAGCAGGGUGAAUUUGGAGUAAAAUCCAAAAGAGGCCCGAACCCACGAGCCGUUCAACACUCGGGGAUGACUUGUGAAUAGAGGAGAAAUUCCAAUCGAGCUUGGCGAUAGCUGGUUCUUCCCGAAAUAGCUUGAGGGCUAGCGUCUUUUAAAUGAGCUUAAAAGGUAGAGCUACUGAAUGAGAAUUCGCGGUUCGCCGUAGGAUUCUCAACCAAACUCCGAAUUUUUAAGUUUCUUAUUAGGGCAGUCAGAAAUCCGGGUCUAAGCUCGGAUCUCAAAAGGGAAAAAGCCCAGACCGCAAUCUAAGGUCCCCAAAUUUAUGUUAAGUGGAAAAGGAGGUGAAGUUUCUUAUACACCUAGGAGGUUGGCUCAGAAGCAGCCAUCCUUUAAAGAGUGCGUAACAGCUCACUAGUCUAGAGACUUUGCGCCGAAAAUUUAACGGGGCUAAACAUAAUACCGAAGGUGCGGGUCAGUGUUAUGCACUGGAAAUCCCAAAUCCAAAAUCCCAAAUCCAAAAUAAAUCCCAAAUCCAAAAUCCCAAAGUUUAAAACAUUGGGUCAUUGGAAAAGUGCCUGCCUGCCGGCAGGCAGGGAAUUUGUUUGGAAAUUGGAAAUUGGAAAUUGGAAAUUCCAGCGCGUAGCGCUGGCGGUAGGGAAGUGUUCUCUGCGCAGCGAAGUCCACGAUGUGAAUCGGGAUGGAGCGCAGAGAAGUAAGAAUGUUGGCAUGAGUAACCACAAUACCGAUGAAAACUCGGUACACCGAAAGUCUAAGGUUUCCUGGGCAAUGACAAUCAUCCCAGGGUUAGUCGGGCCUAAGGCGAGGCCGAAAGGCGUAGUCGAUGGACAUACGGUUAAUAUUCCGUAACUUCAAAAAUUUUCGAUGGAGCGACGUAUCUUUGUAGUUUUUGCGCAUUAUUGGAUUUGCGUAUUUAAUUUGAGGGUGCUUUUCAGGCAAAUCCGGAAAGUAUCGCCCAAGAAUUAGGUGGAAUUCCGACGUAAGUCGGGAGAACAAAGGCGAGCAAGGUACCAGGAAAAACUUCUAAGAUUAUGAUUUUUGAAUCCGUACUAAAACCGACACAGGUAGACUGGGCGAGAAGCCUAAGGUGAACGGAUGAACCUUCGUCAAGGAACUCUGCAAUACAACUAGACGUAAGUUAGCAAGAUGUCUUUCCUACACCACCUUGAUUCUUUAGAUUAUUUUUUAAUAAGGAAUCAGAGUGGUGUAGGACACAGUAAAAAAUUUCAAGCGACUGUUUAUCAAAAACACAGGUCUCUGCAAACUCGCAAGAGGAAGUAUAGGGGCUGACGCCUGACCAGUGCUGGAACGUUAACGGAAGCGGUGCAAGCCAAUUCCCGAAGCGCCAGUGAACGUCGGCGAUAACUAUAAUCGUCCUAAGGUAGCGAAAUUCCUUGUCAGGUAAGUUCUGACCCGCAUCAAAGGCGUAACGACUUGAAAACUGUCUCGACGAAGAGUCCGGUGAAAUUGCAAUGGCGGUAAAGAUGCCGUCGACCUGCAGCAAGACGAAAAGACCCCGUGGAGCUUUACUACAACUUGGUAUUGACUUAGAGUUUUAGUUGCCGAGCUUAGGUGGGAGGCUGUGAAGUCCCGAUUCUGGUCGGGAUGGAGCCAACAAGUGGAAUACCACCCUGCUGAUGUUCUAAGUCUAACCCUGGUCUGUUAUGAGUCUACUAAGACGAAUAACCAUUGAUGAACCAGAAAAUAUACUCAAAUUGUUUAGUGUGUUUUUCAUGGUUCAAAAAUUUAUUUAGUCUUAGUUAUUCAUACCAGACCGGGAACAGUGCCUGGUGGGUAGUUUGACUGGGGCGGUCGCCUCCUAAAUGGCAACGGAGGCGUUUACAAAGGUUGGCUAGGUCCGGAUGGAAAUCGGACNNNNNNNNNNNNNNNNNNNNNNNNNNNNNNNNNNNNNAAGUUACCCCGGGGAUAACAGGCUGAUCCCUCCCAAGAGUCCACAUCGACGGAGGGGUUUGGCACCUCGAUGUCGGCCCAUCGCAUCCUGGGGGUGGAGAAGCUCCCAAGGGUUUGGCUGUUCGCCAAUUAAAGCGGUACGCGAGCUGGGUUCAAACCGUAAAACAGCUUUUAGCUAUUAGCUUAUAGCUUUUAGGUAAAGGAAAUUUUACAGUUUGAAUCCGAGGUAAAGACAUCACAAGCGGCGGCUUUUAGUAGCAAUAUUAAAAGUGAAGCUAACUUAUAUCGGUAAAAUCCCGAAUUCUCGGGACAAUACCGAGGGAAUGGUUCGACUUUGCUCACCAUGAGCGAUAAGAAUCGACCCGUAGAGACUAAACGUUAGCCUUCCUGAAUUUUAGGGAAGAAUUUAUAGUCCAUACACGCAGUAAUGCGUGAACCAGUAUGCGUGAGACAGGUUGGUCUCCUAUCUGCUGUGGGCGUUUAUUGCUUGAGAGGAGUCUUUUUUAGUACGAGAGGACCGAAAAGAACGAACCUCUGGUGUACCAGUUGCAUCGCCAGAUGCACAGCUGGGUAGCUAAGUUCGGACUGGAUAAUCGCUGAAAGCAUAUAAGCGAGAAGCCAUCCUCAAGAUUAGGCAAUGCCAAUGCGUA
This 4001-nucleotide ribosomal RNA is filed under the name Candidatus Moranbacteria bacterium CG23_combo_of_CG06-09_8_20_14_all_40_16. RNAcentral's name for it is "bacterial LSU rRNA". It matches the Rfam family "Bacterial large subunit ribosomal RNA". Lineage: Bacteria; Candidatus Moraniibacteriota. The record is from RNAcentral.